RNAcentral lists this unclassified non-coding RNA (201 nucleotides) under Hevea brasiliensis (rubber tree). The record is from RNAcentral. Lineage: Eukaryota; Viridiplantae; Streptophyta; Magnoliopsida; Malpighiales; Euphorbiaceae.
GAAAGUCUUGCAUCCAAGUUGCUACAGGAUAGGUAUCCAGUUCUGCUGAUAACAGUGUACAAUGUUUCAGUUUUCAUGGGUAAAUCUUUAACUGCAAUAUAUAUUGCGAAGAGCAUCAAGAAGGCAACACGGGCUUGCAUUCUUUGGCUUUGUUUUAUCCACUCUUUGCAGCAUGAAUGAAUGGACCCAAAUGGCUGAGAA